AUACAGAGGUUGCGAGCGUUAAUCGGAAUUACUGGGCGUAAAGCGCGCGUAGGUGGUUUGUUAAGUUGGAUGUGAAAGCCCAGGGCUCAACCUUGGAACUGCAUCCAAAACUGGCAGACUAGAGUGCAGCAGAGGAUAGUGGAAUUUCAGGUGUAGCGGUGAAAUGCGUAGAUAUCUGAAGGAACAUCAGUGGCGAAGGCGACUGUCUGGGCUGAUACUGACACUGAGGUGCGAAAGCGUGGGGAGCAAACAGGAUUAGAUACCCCAGUAGUCC
RNAcentral lists this ribosomal RNA (274 nucleotides) under uncultured bacterium. Its description in RNAcentral is "partial 16S ribosomal RNA". It matches the Rfam family "Bacterial small subunit ribosomal RNA", at positions 523 to 796 of the family's 1533-position model. The record is from RNAcentral.